ACUCCAAGCACUCUGCCUGACACCAUAACCACUGCAGACCCCACGAACCGCCGCAGCUUGGUUGGGAUCUCGCCGUCUCCACCCACUCUGGACCCAGGACCAGGGUCCAGCUUCCAGCAGGUCGACCUCUCUCCGAAUUCCAGAGAGCAGGAACAGGAACAAGCUCUUAGCAGAGCUUAGUGAUUAUACCCUGGGGAGUAUAGUGAUUAUAGCAAUCCCCAGAGUGUAGUUUCUCCAAUCCCCCAAACAUGAGCCGAAACUUCAUGAAGGUACAAGAUGAUCUGUUUAUUGGCACACACAGAACCUUCUUUUAUGCAGGUCCCCAUGCAAGGGGACAUCCCACUGGGUGGGACACAGUACAACCAAUCACACAAUGGUUACAUCCCAC
Molecule: non-coding RNA, 388 nt
Organism: Pelobates cultripes (western spadefoot toad)
Lineage: Eukaryota; Metazoa; Chordata; Amphibia; Anura; Pelobatidae
Source: the annotation of a GenBank genome assembly